RNAcentral lists this ribosomal RNA (340 nucleotides) under uncultured Pseudomonadota bacterium. RNAcentral describes it as "bacterial SSU rRNA". It matches the Rfam family "Bacterial small subunit ribosomal RNA", at positions 29 to 351 of the family's 1533-position model. Lineage: Bacteria; Pseudomonadati; Pseudomonadota. The record is from RNAcentral.
AACAAACGCUGGCGGCGUGCCUAACACAUGCAAGUCGUACGAGAAAAUCCGCUUCGGUGGAUGAGUAAAGUGGCGCACGGGUGAGUAACGCGUGGAUAAUCUGCCCUUUAGUCGGGAAUAACUCAUCGAAAGGUGGGCUAAUACCGGAUAACGCUGUUUUCGCUUCGGUGAUACAGCCAAAGGGGGCCUCUAUUUAUAAGCUCUUACUGAGGGAUGAGUCCGCGUACCAUUAGCUAGUUGGUAGGGUAAUAGCCUACCAAGGCAACGAUGGUUAGCUGGUCUGAGAGGAUGAUCAGCCACACUGGAACUGAGAUACGGUCCAGACUCCUACGGGAGGCUG